Molecule: ribosomal RNA, 450 nt
Filed under: uncultured bacterium
Lineage: Bacteria
Description: partial 16S ribosomal RNA
Rfam family: Bacterial small subunit ribosomal RNA
Source: RNAcentral
GUGGGGAAUAUUGGACAAUGGGCGCAAGCCUGAUCCAGCCAUACCGCGUGGGUGAAGAAGGCCUUCGGGUUGUAAAGCCCUUUUGUUGGGAAAGAAAUCCUGUCGGUUAAUACCUGGCGGGGAUGACGGUACCCAAAGAAUAAGCACCGGCUAACUUCGUGUCAGCAGCCGCGGUAAUACGAAGGGUGCAAGCGUUACUCGGAAUUACUGGGCGUAAAGCGUGCGUAGGUGGUGGUUUAAGUCCGUUGUGAAAGCCCUGGGCUCAACCUGGGAAUUGCAGUGGAUACUGGAUCACUAGAGUGUGGUAGAGGGAUGCGGAAUUUCUGGUGUAGCAGUGAAAUGCGUAGAGAUCAGAAGGAACAUCCGUGGCGAAGGCGGCAUCCUGGGCCAACACUGACACUGAGGCACGAAAGCGUGGGGAGCAAACAGGAUUAGAAACCCCGGUAGUCC